Nomia melanderi (Alkali bee) is the source of this 5260-nucleotide non-coding RNA. NCBI's taxonomy places the organism in Eukaryota, Metazoa, Arthropoda, Insecta, Hymenoptera, Halictidae. The record is from RefSeq and is a predicted model, not a curated record.
UGGAAUAUCGGCGCUCCCCAAAAGAACGCAAGUCGUUUGAGUGGCAGUGAACUUAUUUUACAAAUCGUUAUUGUAAUCACUUUGCUGGACUGUUCCGAAUUUUUGUUCAUUGAUUCUCUUUCUUUUCGUUUUCUUUUACUUUAAGGCUCUAUAAACGUUGCAAUAUUCGGUGAAUUUUAAUAUCAUAUCAUUGACUCCAUCUAUGUAUGCAAUCAUUACAGAUUUUCUUUAUCAAAGUUGUGGUGAGUGUGCGGAAUAGGUACUCGCAUAAGAGUUACCAUUAUAUAUGUAUAUAUUAAUAUAUGCAUAAUGUUACAGUUUUAGAAACGAGUUCACUAAAUAUAUCGUUACGUGUGAGAAUGAAUUAUAGUAAAAUUAAAUCUGUCUUUUUUUUCUGUUGGUAUGGAGAAAGUGUUUCUCGAAAGCACUUCGAACACCUACACGUUAGGUUAUUUUAGACUUCAGAAAACAAGAGAAACAUUUUUCGUCGUUUCGCUGAUUUUAUACGCAUAUGUGAUAUAACUGAAUUUCAUUAGAAUAUUUAUCUAACGGCGCUAAUUGUAAUUUUAAUCCUGGCGAAGAACAGUAUGUAGUGUUUCCGGUCGAUGGCCGCCACAGUCGAGUUAUGCCCGUCAGUACAAACGGUUUUAGUGUCGAAAGAGGUAAACAUCGCAUGGACGACACAAUCAGUUCCCAUGUAAUGCUAUCUUAAUAGGGAAUCGGAUAUACUAUAUCGAAUAGUAUAGGAUUAUCAUACAUUUGCUUAUGCAACGACGUGGAUCUUCGUCGAGGGCAUCGAUUCAACAUGCACCGACGUCGUAGAACCAUGAGAAAACAGUAUCGCGGCAUAUCAACAACUCAUCGUCAACGGCAAACUGGAAGCAGCAACAACUGUAGUAUCGCCGGGCAGAUAGCUAGCCCUAAGAGUACCGGCCAACCCUCAUUCGUCCCAAGGAUUUGCUCGAUGCCCAGCACCUGGGAGACCAGGAGACCCACCGUAACAGCGAGCUGGUUCACCGUGCCUAGGCCGCCUCUCAGGUUCAGUGGUGCUAUCUCCGAUAUGUACAUGGGAACCAACGAGGUGUUCAAGCCACAAUUGACACCGAUGAUGAACCGUCCAAAGAACAACAUUUCGUACGAGUGAGCAAUCUUUGUACAACCCAUCAGGCACGCCCCCACGAUGCCCAGCACGUUGUUUAGCAGUAAGCCCCCCUUUCUGUUGGCGGAUAGAACGAAAAAACAGAAAAACAAAGUGGACGAUGUUAAUGGCCAGUUUCAAUGAUCCAUCAGUUACCUGACAGAGCGCGCUAGCAUUUUUUUCGUAACGAUGUAGCUUUGCGUAAUACACAAUUUGCCUAGCUUUGUAGAUAUACAUACAACGUGGCUUAGCAGGAUUACUGAUAAACGGAAUGGCGUACAAACCUGCCAAAUCUGUUGGCAAUUAUUCCACCGCUAAAACCACCUAGCAUACCACCGAUCGCGAAUAUGCUUACGGCCACCGAGUACAGUUUCUUCACGGAGUCGUCGGAGAUGUCCUCCCCGUAUCGGUCCUUGUACACGUCUUUCAUGAAAUUCUCUAUGUUCUGAAACAUUCGGGUCGUGCUUUUUAUAGGAAAACUCGUAUCUAUUGUCGCAAGUUUGUAUUUAUCUAUGUGAACGAAGAGUUCGAUAUUUCUAGGGGUUGUUCUGGAAAGUCGAAGAAUUUAUUCUUUUUUCUUUGAUUUUUUGAGAGUACUUUUCAAGUAGAUAUCUAUGUAAAGAAAGAGUUUGAUAUCUUUAGAUGUUAUUCGCAAAACGUACCACUUCCGGCGCAUUAAUGACUCCAGUGUUGUAUCCGAACUGCAACAUUCCUAAAACUGCAGCCAAUAUUGCAUACGACAGGAAAAGUGUCAGUCCCUGAAAAUAUCACGUACAGUAUUAAUCGUUGAAAGAUCGAUUCAAGUUCGCGAACAAAUAUCAAAUCUCAAUGGAAAAAAACGAAGAACAUAACAAUAAAACAAUCGCAGCGUCAAACAAAAAAUAAUUCUUAUGACAAUAGAAAUCAUAAACGAUGAAAGGGUAAAUAAAAGAACACCAGAGAAUGUUAGACUGGUUUAUUACAAAAUAUUCGUCAAAUGUAACUAUAAAAUCAUGCGCUACAAUGAGACGAAUAAUACGAUAAUCAUAAAAAUUAAACGGGACGGUAUAACGAAACAAAUACAGCCACGAUACGCUGGUAUUAUGAUGAUGAUGAUUAUGAUAAUGAUGAUUGUACAAAACAAGCAGCCAUUGAAAGCGAUAUCAUACUUUGCUCGGUAGAAAAGAAAAAUGUCACGCCAAAAAAUAAGUAUUUUGGUUCGAGAUACAAGGAUCACCUGUUGUAAAAGUCUAAGUUUCCGCCGAUGGGAGUGUUCUUCUAGUCGAUCCACAUAUUCUCGUAACUCUUCUAUCUCCUCUUUCACCUGCUGUACUGUAUCGAGUUCGUGCUGCGUUGGAUUAGGAAAUGACGGUUUAAAAAUAGGAAGACACUUCCAAACGAGAGUACUAAAAUUCUAUAGCUAUGUAUAUUUCAAGAAUGUCGGGUCAAAUCAUUCGUCAAAAUAAUUAACCCAUUUCAGUGAUCUCUUCGCACGGAACGGUUGCUCCACAAGUUUCGAGGACAUCUGGAAUAUAAUAAAACCAAACCGACAAGACUUUCGAUCGAAUGCCAUUCUCUAUAAUUUAUUACACAUAAAUACGAAAUGGAGUUCAGAACUACAGCUUCAAAUUCAAAGUAGAAUACAAGCGAUCUUUCAAACGCAAAUAAAUGAAAUUAAACAAAUUUUAUAGCGUCUGCACUCACAAAAUAAGAUAAGAAACAACCUUCAUUCAAAACAUUCAAUUCGUACAGCUCAAAAUUCGUCAUUAAUUUCAAGUCGUUUAAAUGCGAUGUUUAAAACCCUGGUGCGAUUUUACGGAGUAACAUCCCGUUCGCCGGCACUCGAAAUCCAUGGGACAACCGAUCAAGCGAAAGAUCUCUUCAAACAGCGGGUGAAGAUGGAGACCGGGUAAUUUUGGAGCGAGCAAGCGACUCAAGGGGUUGGACACAGAUCGGUAACAAUACCUUGAUCGCGACCAUGUCCCGUUUGACCUCGCUGACCUCGCUCUGACAAGACUCUACGCUCUUGGUGAGCUCCUGCAGCUGUGUGCGAAUCUCGCAUAGGGCGACGGUCGUCUCCAGCUGGCGGUCACCCCGCUGCAGCUCGUCCAGCUUGGCACUCAAGUUCAUACUCAUAACGCUGACCUGUUUCUGCAGACUGCCCACACACAUAUACCCUAACGUGAAUCACGCUGGCUCGCCCCCGAUUUCAAAUGGAAAUCGACAACAAUUUGUCGGGCACACAUCGACAGACACUAGACACGAUCAAGGCUAAACUAUGUAGGUAUAUAUAUAUAUACCUAUAUGUAUAUGUAUAUAUGUAUAUGUAUAUAUAUAUAUAUGCCUAGGUGGUAUCCCUAAAAGAGAGGUCCAACUAAACUUCGCGCGAUACUGCCGAGCCUUACACACGUUUCUUUUUUAGCGUCACAGACAGCAAACAGACAGAAUGCGUACGACACUCAUACAACACCGCCGUGUGUAUUUUCGUUUCUCCCGGUGUUAUCCUGUAUGCUGUAUAUAUGCUAGAUAUUUGUACAUAUAUAUAUAUUUUUUUCUUUCCUACUUUCUAUAUAUUUUCUUUCAUUUUUUUUUCCUCAUAUCAGGCGCUCGUUUAUAUUCUCUCUUUGUCACGUGCGAGGAUAUAAAGCUCUAGCCAACGGUGGAGAAAAAAGAACGGAUGCUGUAACUCAACAAGUGUAAGUACACGGCUUGGCUACCGCCAUUUUCCUCUGGUGCUUGCUUUGAGAAAAAAAAGGAAAAGAAAAUUUGUCGUUAGCGAGCCAGCGGUAGCUCGGCAGCUAAGGAAGCGUCGGGAAUACACGAUUACGGCACGUUAACGGAGAGAAAGAUUCAUGUGUGUACACGGGGUGUCGGGUAAAAGUUGAGUUUCGAUUUUGGAAGAUUACGGCACCCCUCAAAACGAGCGAUAAAGUUUUGGUAAAGAAUUCUUGAUGGUUAAAUCGUGUUUUCCAUAUGUUUACUUCAUUUCAUUUUGUUCAGUUUGAGAGCUAGGAAGUAGAUGUUUAUUAGAAUCGAAAUAAUAAUAAUCGAAGAAGGUUGUAAUAAUCUUUUUGAAUGUAAUGAUUAUACUAAUGGAUCUUUCAACGCGUGCAUGCAUCGAUGCGUAAACGUGGCGAACAGUAUGAGCGGCCAUAUUGAAUAUCUACUUCGGAGGUUAUGUUUCAUCGACAAAGAUAUUUAUUAAGACAUUUGUCUCCGAAAGCAACGAGUUUGAAACUCACGUUUACUAAGACAUUUUCGUCGUCUAGAUGAGCACUGUAUGCCUCUAACCUUAAAUCGCAACUUUAGUCAACACCCUGUAUACAAUAUAUACUAUACACAAACAAAGAAAUAUUAUCAUAUAAAUAUAUAUUAUGAACCGCCUAUGUAAUAUGAAUAUACAUAGAAGUAUAAUAUAAUAUCGAAUCGAAAGGAAUAUAGCACAAUGUACAAACGCCACUAAAAGCAGGUCUAAAAUUGUGUGUGGGUGAGUGUCAGGGUGAAACACUACAGUGAUAUAUAUGUAUAUAUUUUUUUUUAAAUAAAUAUAUAUAUAUAUAUUUAUAUUAAUAUACACAUUAAACAUAGUUGUCAGAGCUGUGCACAUUAGAUGGAAGUUUGUGAAGGUGAAUAGAUGGAAACUAGUCCCCUCGUAUAACGGGUAUACAUAAUAGACCCUCCCCCGUUAGUUUCAACACAUCGGAAGGACCACCUGUUUUUUUUCUUUUUUUUGUUCUUUUUUUCAAUGGAAAAUGCAAUAUGAGUUUCAUCCCCCCUCUCCCGUUUCAUAAAGCAUUUUCCCCCGUGAGUAACGCGGCGAGAAAGAGAAAAAGAGAGAUAGAGAUAGAAAAAAAAGAGAGCUUCGGCACACGCGAAGCCUAAGUGUCUACGCAAAACACGAUGCGGGAAAUGUGCAAGUGGGUUGAGAAACAAUGAGAUUCCGAUGCUGGUGGUUAUAGAUCGCAAAAUGUAGGUAACGAAUGAAUGAUCAUAGAUGUAUCUCGAUCGAGGGAGAUUUUUUUGUUUCGAUUGAUUCCUUUCUUUUUUUAUUUUUGCAAACUUGUCAAUCGAUGUGCACAGCCAAGCAAAAAGGGUGAUUCAAAUCAACGGAAGAAUGGAGAACUAAAGAGAUCAACGGAAAGA